This 84-nucleotide transfer RNA is filed under the name Candidatus Mnemosynella bozhongmuii. RNAcentral's name for it is "tRNA-Ser". It matches the Rfam family "tRNA". Rfam says of the family: Transfer RNA (tRNA) molecules are approximately 80 nucleotides in length. Their secondary structure includes four short double-helical elements and three loops (D, anti-codon, and T loops). The record is from RNAcentral. RNAcentral also lists the same sequence under 1 other name. Lineage: Archaea; Methanobacteriati; Methanobacteriota; Archaeoglobi; Candidatus Mnemosynellales; Candidatus Mnemosynellaceae.
GCCGGGAUGGUCGAGCGGUAAGGCGCAGGCCUGGAGAGCCUGUGGGGCAUCUGCCCCGCAAGGGUUCAAAUCCCUUUCCCGGCG